GAAGGGAAAAACUGUAAAAGAAGAAAAAGGAAAUUAUGCAUUGCAACUAUAUCCUGAAUCAAACAACUAAAAAGCACAGCUUGUAAGUGUUGAAGAAAUAAAAAGGGAGGAUAAAAAAAAGAGGAUAAAGCCAGACUCUUUGCAGUGGUGCCCAAGGAUUGGAAAAAGAGACAAUGGACCCAAACUGGAAGGAGAGUAAUGGUGCUCGCUUGCAGCAAAGGGGCAGCUGGAGGCUGGGCCUAGAAGCACCCUGAGCAGAUCUGCUCUUCCUGCUAUCUAAAAGUGCAUGGCCUAGGCCUUCAGAUGCCAUGGACGAAAGGAUCACGUUGUGUUCCAGAAAUGAUUAAUACUUAGAUGUGCCUUUUAUUUGGAAGCAAUGACAUAGAUGUUUUGGAAGAGGGGGCUGGACUGAAUGGGACAUUGUACUUAACAGUGAGUUCACAAUGCACUCAACAUCUAGUAAAACUUCCUCUACAUAGAGAGCCUUCCUUUUUGAUCUUACAGCCUUCGAUCAGGUUAUAAGAGGCUAUAUAACAAAGGGGAGGUUGUGUAAUAUUGCGCUGCUUCAAGUAAAAUGUAUUUCAUAUUCAUUCUUCUGUACUAUAUCUCCCGUUCAUAGUUAUACUUGAUAGUCACCAUAAAUAAAUUCAG
This is a long non-coding RNA of Numida meleagris (helmeted guineafowl), 651 nucleotides long. RefSeq lists it as uncharacterized. The record is from RefSeq and is a predicted model, not a curated record. The transcript is spliced from 4 exons. NCBI's taxonomy places the organism in Eukaryota, Metazoa, Chordata, Aves, Galliformes, Numididae.